GGGACUGUAGGGUAGCUUGGUCCAUCCUGCGUGGCUGGGGGUCACGCGACCUGAGUUCAAAUCUCAGCAGUCCCACCA
This 78-nucleotide transfer RNA is filed under the name Methanosarcinales archaeon. RNAcentral describes it as "tRNA-Pro". It matches the Rfam family "tRNA". From Rfam's summary of the family: Transfer RNA (tRNA) molecules are approximately 80 nucleotides in length. Their secondary structure includes four short double-helical elements and three loops (D, anti-codon, and T loops). The record is from RNAcentral. Lineage: Archaea; Methanobacteriati; Methanobacteriota; Methanomicrobia; Methanosarcinales.